UACGGAGGGUGCAAGCGUUAUCCGGAUUCACUGGGUUUAAAGGGUGCGUAGGUGGGUCUGUAAGUCCGUGGUGAAAUCUCCGAGCUUAACUUGGAAACUGCCAUGGAUACUAUAGGUCUUGAAUACUGUGGAGGUCAGCGGAAUAUGUCAUGUAGCGGUGAAAUGCUUAGAUAUGACAUAGAACACCAAUUGCGGAGGCAGCUGGCUACACAAAUAUUGACACUGAUGCACGAAAGCGUGGGGAUCAAACAGG
This 253-nucleotide ribosomal RNA is filed under the name uncultured bacterium. Its description in RNAcentral is "partial 16S ribosomal RNA". It matches the Rfam family "Bacterial small subunit ribosomal RNA", at positions 524 to 776 of the family's 1533-position model. The record is from RNAcentral.